CCCCUACGGGAGGCAGCAGUGGGGAAUAUUGCACAAUGGGGGGAACCCUGAUGCAGCGACGCCGCGUGGGUGAAGGAGUACUUCGGUACGUAAAGCCCUAUCAGCAGGAAAGAAAAUGGCGGUACCUGACUAAGAAGCCCCGGCUAACUACGUGCCAGCAGCCGCGGUAAUACGUAGGGGGCAAGCGUUAUCCGGAUUUACUGGGUGUAAAGGGAGCGUAGACGGUUACGCAAGUCUGGAGUGAAAGGCGGGGGCCCAACCCCCGGACUGCUUUGGAAAAUGUAUAACUGG
Molecule: ribosomal RNA, 291 nt
Filed under: uncultured bacterium
Lineage: Bacteria
Description: partial 16S ribosomal RNA
Rfam family: Bacterial small subunit ribosomal RNA
Source: RNAcentral